Molecule: ribosomal RNA, 429 nt
Filed under: uncultured bacterium
Lineage: Bacteria
Description: bacterial SSU rRNA
Rfam family: Bacterial small subunit ribosomal RNA
Source: RNAcentral
UGGGGAAUCUUGCGCAAUGCGCGAAAGCGUGACGCAGCAACGCCGCGUGGGGGAAGAAGGCCUUCGGGUUGUAAACCCCUUUCAGGAGGGACGAAGGUUCGGCGGUGAAUAGCCGUCCGGACUGACGGUACCUCCACAAGAAGCCCCGGCUAACUACGUGCCAGCAGCCGCGGUAAUACGUAGGGGGCUAGCGUUGUCCGGAAUCAUUGGGCGUAAAGCGCGCGUAGGCGGCCCGGUAAGUCCGCUCUGAAAGUCCAGGGCUCAACCCUGGAAAGCGGGUGGAUACUGCCGGGCUAGAAUCCGGAAGAGGCGAGUGGAAUUCCUGGUGUAGCGGUGGAAUGCGCAGAUAUCAGGAGGAACACCAAUAGCGAAGGCAGCUCGCUGGGACGGUAUUGACGCUAAGGCGCGAAAGCGUGGGGAGCGAACAGG